UACGUAGACCUCAAGCGUUAUCCGGAUUUAUUGGGCGUAAAGCGCGUGUAGGAGGUUUCGCGCGUCUUUGGUUAAAGACCACUGCCUAACAGUGGAAGUGCCAAGGAUACGGCGAGACUAGAGGAAGUUAGAGGUGCAUGGAGCGCACGGUGUAGGGGUGAAAUCCGUUGAUAUCGUGCGAAACACCAAAGGCGAAGGCAAUGCACUGGGACUUUCCUGACUCUGAGACGCGAAAGCGUGGGGAGCAAAAAGG
Molecule: ribosomal RNA, 253 nt
Filed under: uncultured bacterium
Lineage: Bacteria
Description: partial 16S ribosomal RNA
Rfam family: Bacterial small subunit ribosomal RNA
Source: RNAcentral